CCGCAGAUGCCUUCCAUCAUUAGUCUGGCCUGCAGAUUAUUUUCUUCUACCUUUAGAACUUCCUGUCUCCAGUAAAACUACGCCUGCUCUCCACCCAUCAAUCUGCCUUUCUGUUCUCACAGCCGCCUCAGGAAUCGCUCUGACCAGUGGCUGCGCAACAUCCCGGCACUGCCAACAGCAGGAGCUUCCAGGCAUGCGCAUCUACUGCUGUGAUUCGGACCUCUGCAACGGUGCCCCCUACAGGCGUGGGGGCACACUGCACUGCCUGUGCACGGUUCUUGGCUUGCUGUUGCUGUGGCUGCAGCAGUGAGUUUACUGCUGGCUGACUAAGUUUUUAGUGAAUGAAGAUCAUCAUCUUUAUGCAGCUUGAUAACACUGGUGAGGGUUGCAGUGGCUACAGACGUUAGCAUGUUCUGGGUGAUCUCCAGAUCUUCCCAAGCCAGUUGGGAGAUAUAAUCCCCCCAGUGUGUCUUGGGUAUGCCAUGCCCCCCAGCCACCCGCUGGGACAUACCCUGAACAGCUUGCUUGGGAGUCGACCAGGUGGGAUCCCGAUAAGAUGCCCAGACUGCUUCAGCUCCUCCGGAUGUUUCCUUCAGACCUCCAAACCCCUCCCCCUGUCACGGAGCAUCGGCCGAGCAGUAGGGAAACCACGUUUCGGCUGCUUAUACUCUUGACCUUGAUCUUUUGAGCUCUACGCACAGUUCAUGCCCAUUGGUGAGGAUCUGGGUGCAGACUGACCGGUGAACCACAGCAUUUGUCUUUUAACUUGCUCCCGGUUCACCAACAUGGACCCACUCAGUCCCUGAAAAACUGCAGCCACCAAACUCAUCCGCCUGUCAUGCUAUUACUGGCACUUGUGAACGCCAUCAUGGUGUCUUCACUAAAACCCAACUCUCAUUUCUGGCAUUUGUGAACACCUGACUCUCCCCGUCACCUGAAAGGAGCAUUCCCGGAAAAGCACUAUGGCCUCAGAUCUGGAAGUGCUGAAUCCCACCCCUGCCACUUUGCACUAGGCACUGAAGGACUCAAGUGCAUGCUGUAGGUCCUGGUCGAAGAAAGCCAGAAGUGUAACAUCAUCUCUAGCUCCCCAUAGCAGAUGUUCUUCUGGCCACAGUUGAGCCUUGAUAUCCUGUCCAUAAAAAUCUAAAAAAAU
Non-coding RNA from Paramormyrops kingsleyae, 1153 nucleotides. The record is from RefSeq and is a predicted model, not a curated record. Lineage: Eukaryota; Metazoa; Chordata; Actinopteri; Osteoglossiformes; Mormyridae.